RNAcentral lists this ribosomal RNA (441 nucleotides) under uncultured bacterium. Its description in RNAcentral is "partial 16S ribosomal RNA". It matches the Rfam family "Bacterial small subunit ribosomal RNA", at positions 338 to 795 of the family's 1533-position model. The record is from RNAcentral.
CCUACGGGUGGCAGCAGUGGGGGAUAUUGCACAAUGGGGGAAACCCUGAUGCAGCGACGCCGCGUGGGUGAAGAAGUAUUUCGGUAUGUAAAGCCCUAUCAGCAGGGAAGAAAGAAGACGGUACCUGACUAAGAAGCCCCGGCUAACUACGUGCCAGCAGCCGCGGUAAUACGUAGGGGGCGAGCGUUAUCCGGAUUCACUGGGUGUAAAGGGAGCGUAGGAGGCCGUGCAAGCCAGGAGUGAAAGCCCGGGGCCCAACCCCGGGACUGCUCUUGGAACUGUGCGGCUGGAGUGCGGGAGGGGCAGGCGGAAUUCCUGGUGUAGCGGUGAAAUGCGUAGAUAGCAGGAGGAACACCGGCGGCGAAGGCGGCCUGCUGGACCGCGACUGACGUUGAGGCUCGAAAGCGUGGGGAGCGAACAGGAUUAGAUACCCCAGUAGUC